GUUAUAACAUCCAUCACCAUUUUGACCACUGAAACUUGGCCUUCUUUUCUUACAGCCUAGCCCUGUGGUCUUGGGCUAAUCAGUAACCUGCUUAGAUACAAUUUUCUUCUCUAUGAAAUAGAAACAAUAUUAUAUGCUUUGAAGGACUGCAGGAAGAUGAGCUGUAAUGUUUAUCAAGUGCCUAGGCUUCCCUGGUGGUGCAGUGGUUGAGAGUCUGCCUGCCGAUGCAGGGGACGCGGAUUCGUGCCCCCGUCCGGGAAGAUCCCACAUGCUGCGGAGCGGCUGGGCCCGUGAGCCAUGGCCGCUGAGCCUGAGCGUCCGGAACCUGUGCUCCGCAACGGGAGAGGCCACAACAGUGAGAGGCCCCAACAGUGAGAGGCCCGUGUACCGCAAAAAAAAAAAAACAACUCCGUUUUAAUUUAAUUUUUCUUGAGGUAACAUUGAUUACCACCUCUCAGCUCGAAAUUCACUCUUUUGUUACUUGCUCUGUGAAAAGUGCUAUGGGUCCUUUAAAUAGUUUUUCCUUGGCCAGCUUGUGUGAUGUUAGGCUUUCCUAAUUGAUGGCACCUGAGGAAGGUGUUGCUUCGUGAUGCCCCGGUGCUUGCUGGGAAGGCUCUUGGUGGCCUCUUCAGCACCCACUCACUCCUGCAGCUCUGAGGGCGUCCUCAGUCCUGCUUCCGGGGCUCACAACUUCUCCGGUAGUCGGCUUCAGCAGUGCGCAGAGAGAGCAGUGGACGACAGCUUCCGUCAGCAUCUUCUAUCAAGAAGUUUUGGAGUAGCGCCUCAGGUUAGAAAUCUCCCCGUGCAUAGUUUUACUGAACCCUAGAAUGUGGAUUUCCAGCAACUUACAGAGGGCAUAUUUCCAGAAAGUUCCACCAUGAGACACCACAGCAGCUUCUUUACCGUCCAGUGAGCCACAGUCAUGCUCUUUUCAACCGGGUCUGGACCUCAGUCCUGUGGGCAGGGAGGAGGAGGUCUUCUUUUCAACUGGAGGGUUAGCGGCUCUCCUUGUUUCUGCUAACUGUGUGUUUUGGCGUUCUCUUUACUUGUCGCUGGCCAUUCCUUCCUUACUCUAAUCCUCUUUCAUAAUUAAUAGUUUUUUCAUUACACUUUCCAUGCUCAAAUUACUGUUUGUUUUUCUUCUGGUUGGACCCAGAAUAAUAACUAAAUAAUCUAA
Long non-coding RNA from Lagenorhynchus albirostris (white-beaked dolphin), 1177 nucleotides. RefSeq lists it as uncharacterized. The transcript is spliced from 2 exons. The record is from RefSeq and is a predicted model, not a curated record. Lineage: Eukaryota; Metazoa; Chordata; Mammalia; Artiodactyla; Delphinidae.